Molecule: ribosomal RNA, 253 nt
Filed under: uncultured bacterium
Lineage: Bacteria
Description: partial 16S ribosomal RNA
Rfam family: Bacterial small subunit ribosomal RNA
Source: RNAcentral
UACGUAGGGUGCGAGCGUUAAUCGGAAUUACUGGGCGUAAAGAGUGCGUAGGCGGUUCUUGAAGUCCGCUGUGAAAGCCCCGGGCUUAACCUGGGAAUGGCAGUGGAAACUGGGGGACUUGAAUUGAGCAGAGGGGGGUGGAAUGCCGCGUGUAGCAGUGAAAUGCGUAGAGAUGCGGCGGAACACCGAUGGCGAAGGCAGCCCCCUGGGCUUAAAUUGACGCUGAGGCACGAAAGCGUGGGGAGCAAGCAGG